This 497-nucleotide ribosomal RNA is filed under the name uncultured bacterium. RNAcentral's name for it is "partial 16S ribosomal RNA". It matches the Rfam family "Bacterial small subunit ribosomal RNA", at positions 28 to 507 of the family's 1533-position model. The record is from RNAcentral.
GAUGAACGCUGGCGGCGUGCCUAAUACAUGCAAGUCGAGCGAACGGACGAGAAGCUUGCUUCUCUGAUGUUAGCGGCGGACGGGUGAGUAACACGUGGAUAACCUACCUAUAAGACUGGGAUAACUUCGGGAAACCGGAGCUAAUACCGGAUGAUAUUUUGAACCGCAUGGUUCAAAAGUGAAAGACGGUCUUGCUGUCACUUAUAGAUGGAUCCGCGCUGCAUUAGCUAGUUGGUAAGGUAACGGCUUACCAAGGCAACGAUGCAUAGCCGACCUGAGAGGGUGAUCGGCCACACUGGAACUGAGACACGGUCCAGACUCCUACGGGAGGCAGCAGUAGGGAAUCUUCCGCAAUGGGCGAAAGCCUGACGGAGCAACGCCGCGUGAGUGAUGAAGGUCUUCGGAUCGUAAAACUCUGUUAUUAGGGAAGAACAUAUGUUUAAGUAACUGUGCACAUCUUGACGGUACCUAACCAGAAAGCCACGGCUAACUACGUG